CAGUAGCCGCGUAAUACGUAGGGUGCAAGCGUUAAUCGGAAUUACUGGGCGUAAAGCGUGCGCAGGCGGUUUGUUAAGACAGAUGUGAAAUCCCCGGGCUCAACCCGGGAACUGCAUUUGUGACUGUAUAGCUAGAGUACGGCAGAGGGGGAUGGAAUUCCGCGUGUAGCAGUGAAAUGCGUAGAUAUGCGGAGGAACACCGAUGGCGAAGGCAAUCCCCUGGGCCUGUACUGACGCUCAUGCACGAAAGCGUGGGGAGCAAACAGGAUUAGAUACCCCUGUAGUCCCUGUCUCUUAUACA
This 301-nucleotide ribosomal RNA is filed under the name uncultured bacterium. Its description in RNAcentral is "partial 16S ribosomal RNA". It matches the Rfam family "Bacterial small subunit ribosomal RNA", at positions 509 to 808 of the family's 1533-position model. The record is from RNAcentral.